Molecule: long non-coding RNA, 517 nt
Filed under: Medicago truncatula (barrel medic)
Lineage: Eukaryota; Viridiplantae; Streptophyta; Magnoliopsida; Fabales; Fabaceae
Description: long non-coding RNA (MTRU_LNC005184)
Source: RNAcentral
GAAGUAGUAAAAAUAUCGCUCCCACGAGGACUGUGUUAAUUUCAAUUUAGCAAUAAGGUAAAUAAUUAGGAUGUAUAAAUUUCUUUUAGUUGCCCUAGGCAGUAGUUUUGGUUUGCAUAAAAUUAAAUAAACAGAAUGUAAAGAUAGAGUUGGAAAGAAUGAGAGAGAGAUGAGAUCAGGUCUUUCGAAUCAUCUAUGUUCCCCUAAUUGGUAUACUGCACAUAUUCUUAUGAAUGAUUUUCUAGUUCCACGAUAGUUAACAAAAUAGUCCUAAUCAAUCCCUUGAGUUAGGACCCUCUUCUCAAACUACAGCCCCUAAUUCCUUAGGUGGUCUAAUAAUCUUUGAAGGUUUUAAGAACGUUAACCUAAUAUCACUAACAAACGAUUAUCCAUUCCUAGACUAACCCUGUUUAUUAGAACAAUUCAAUUCUGUCUAAGUAGAAAGCUAUGGUCAGUAGUCAUUCAUUCUCACUAAAUCAUGUUUAUAUUUGAUCAGGAUAUAAAAAGCAUUAAGAAC